CAGUCGCCGCGGUAAUACAGAGGGUGCAAGCGUUAAUCGGAUUUACUGGGCGUAAAGCGCGCGUAGGUGGCCAAUUAAGUCAAAUGUGAAAUCCCCGAGCUUAACUUGGGAAUUGCAUUCGAUACUGGUUGGCUAGAGUAUGGGAGAGGAUGGUAGAAUUCCAGGUGUAGCGGUGAAAUGCGUAGAGAUCUGGAGGAAUACCGAUGGCGAAGGCAGCCAUCUGGCCUAAUACUGACACUGAGGUGCGAAAGCAUGGGGAGCAAACAGGAUUAGAUACCCGCGUAGUCCCUGUCUCUUAUAC
This 301-nucleotide ribosomal RNA is filed under the name uncultured bacterium. RNAcentral describes it as "partial 16S ribosomal RNA". It matches the Rfam family "Bacterial small subunit ribosomal RNA", at positions 509 to 807 of the family's 1533-position model. The record is from RNAcentral.